RNAcentral lists this transfer RNA (71 nucleotides) under Exyrias puntang (Puntang goby). RNAcentral's name for it is "tRNA-Asp". It matches the Rfam family "tRNA". From Rfam's summary of the family: Transfer RNA (tRNA) molecules are approximately 80 nucleotides in length. Lineage: Eukaryota; Metazoa; Chordata; Actinopteri; Gobiiformes; Gobiidae. The record is from RNAcentral.
AAGAUACUAGUAUAGCACCAAUACACUGCCUUGUCAAGGCAGAGUCGUAGGUUAAAACCCUGCGUAUCUUG